This 305-nucleotide ribosomal RNA is filed under the name uncultured bacterium. Its description in RNAcentral is "bacterial SSU rRNA". It matches the Rfam family "Bacterial small subunit ribosomal RNA", at positions 337 to 640 of the family's 1533-position model. The record is from RNAcentral.
GCCUACGGGAGGCAGCAGUGAGGAAUAUUGGGCAAUGGGCGAGAGCCUGAACCAGCCAAGUCGCGUGAGGGAGUACUGCCCUAUGGGUUGUAAACCUCUUUUGUCGGGGAGCAAAAGCCGGACGUGUCCGUCUGUGAGAGUACCCGAAGAAAAAGCAUCGGCUAACUCCGUGCCAGCAGCCGCGGUAAUACGGAGGAUCCGAGCGUUAUCCGGAUUCAUUGGGUUUAAAGGGUGCGUAGGUUGUUUUAUAAGUUAGCGGUGAAAUACCGAUGCUCAACAUCGGGGCUGCCGCUAAUACUGUAGGA